This 497-nucleotide ribosomal RNA is filed under the name uncultured bacterium. Its description in RNAcentral is "partial 16S ribosomal RNA". It matches the Rfam family "Bacterial small subunit ribosomal RNA", at positions 28 to 507 of the family's 1533-position model. The record is from RNAcentral.
GAUGAACGCUGGCGGCGUGCCUAAUACAUGCAAGUCGAGCGAACGGACGAGAAGCUUGCUUUUCUGAUGUUAGCGGCGGACGGGUGAGUAACACGUGGAUAACCUACCUAUAAGACUGGGAUAACUUCGGGAAACCGGAGCUAAUAUCGGAUAAUAUUUUGAACCGCAUGGUUCAAAAGUGAAAGACGGUCUUGCUGUCACUUAUAGAUGGAUCCGCGCUGCAUUAGCUAGUUGGUAAGGUAACGGCUUACCAAGGCAACGAUGCAUAGCCGACCUGAGAGGGUGAUCGGCCACACUGGAACUGAGACACGGUCCAGACUCCUACGGGAGGCAGCAGUAGGGAAUCUUCCGCAAAGGGCGAAAGCCUGCCGGAGCAACGCCGCGUGAGUGAUGAAGGUCUUCGGAUCGUAAAACUCUGUUAUUAGGGAAGAACAUAUGUGUAAGUAACUGUGCACAUCUUGACGGUACCUAAUCAGAAAGCCACGGCUAACUACGUG